Molecule: long non-coding RNA, 103 nt
Organism: Etheostoma cragini (Arkansas darter)
Lineage: Eukaryota; Metazoa; Chordata; Actinopteri; Perciformes; Percidae
Exons: 3
Source: RefSeq, a predicted model, not a curated record
UUGCUACCUCAUUUUCCUUAAAGUGUCCAUAUUAUGCUCAUCUUCAGGUUUGUAAUUGUAUUUAGAGGUUGUACCAGAAUAGGUUUACAUGGUUUCAUAAAAA